This 482-nucleotide ribosomal RNA is filed under the name Cytobacillus firmus. RNAcentral describes it as "bacterial SSU rRNA". It matches the Rfam family "Bacterial small subunit ribosomal RNA", at positions 923 to 1401 of the family's 1533-position model. The record is from RNAcentral. Lineage: Bacteria; Bacillati; Bacillota; Bacilli; Caryophanales; Bacillaceae.
GCCAAGGCCGGGUAGGAGCAUGUGGUUUAAUUCGAAGCAACGCGAAGAACCUUACCUGGUCUUGACAUCUCCUGACAACCCUAGAGAUAGGGCGUUCCCCUUCGGGGGACAGGAUGACAGGUGGUGCAUGGUUGUCGUCAGCUCGUGUCGUGAGAUGUUGGGUUAAGUCCCGCAACGAGCGCAACCCUUGAUCUUAGUUGCCAGCAUUCAGUUGGGCACUCUAAGGUGACUGCCGGUGACAAACCGGAGGAAGGUGGGGAUGACGUCAAAUCAUCAUGCCCCUUAUGACCUGGGCUACACACGUGCUACAAUGGAUGGUACAAAGGGCUGCGAGACCGCGAGGUUAAGCGAAUCCCAUAAAACCAUUCUCAGUUCGGAUUGCAGGCUGCAACUCGCCUGCAUGAAGCCGGAAUCGCUAGUAAUCGCGGAUCAGCAUGCCGCGGUGAAUACUUUCCCGGGCCUUGUACACACCGCCUGUCAAG